RNAcentral lists this ribosomal RNA (351 nucleotides) under Pirateolea piscator. RNAcentral describes it as "partial 12S small subunit ribosomal RNA". The record is from RNAcentral. Lineage: Eukaryota; Metazoa; Arthropoda; Insecta; Lepidoptera; Noctuidae.
AAAAUUUAAAUUUAAAAUACUAAAAUAGUAAAUAAAUAUUUAUUGAAACUUAAAUAAUUUGGCGGUAUUUUAGUUCAUUUAGAGGAAUCUGUUUAAUAAUUGAUAUUCCACGAAUAAAUUUACUUAAUUUAUAAUUUUGUAUAUCGUUGUUGUAAAAAUAUUUUUUAAAAAAAUUAAUAUUUAAAAAUUAAUAAUUAAAAUUAAAUCAGAUCAAGAUGCAGAUUAUAAUUAAGAAUAUAAUGGAUUACAAUAAAUUUAUUUAAAUGGAUUUUAAUUUGUAAAAAUUAAUUGAAGGUGGAUUUAAAUGUAAUUUUAUUUAAUUUAAUAAAAUGAUUAAAAAUUAAAAUAUGU